AAGACGACGACGUUGAUAGGUCGGGUGUGUAAGCGCAGCGAUGCGUUGAGCUAACCGAUACUAAUGAACCGUGAGGCUUAACCUUACAACGCCGAAGGUGUUU
Molecule: ribosomal RNA, 103 nt
Filed under: Enterobacter cloacae
Lineage: Bacteria; Pseudomonadati; Pseudomonadota; Gammaproteobacteria; Enterobacterales; Enterobacteriaceae
Also listed under: 4 other names
Description: partial 23S ribosomal RNA
Rfam family: Bacterial large subunit ribosomal RNA (bases 1-85)
Source: RNAcentral